UACGUAGGGUGCAAGCGUUAUCCGGAAUUAUUGGGCGUAAAGAGCUCGUAGGCGGUUUGUCGCGUCUGCUGUGAAAACUGGGGGCUCAACCCCCAGCCUGCAGUUGAUACGGGCAGGCUAGAGUUCGGUAGGGGAGACUGGAAUUCCACGUGUAGCAGUGAAAUGCGCAGAUAUCAGGAGGAACACCGGUGGCGAAGGCGGGUCUCUGGGCAACAACUGACGCUGAGGAGCGAAAGCGUGGGGAGCGAACAGG
Molecule: ribosomal RNA, 253 nt
Filed under: uncultured bacterium
Lineage: Bacteria
Description: partial 16S ribosomal RNA
Rfam family: Bacterial small subunit ribosomal RNA
Source: RNAcentral